CCCGGAAGAAGAAACCGCAGCGCGGCGUCGCCUUCGGGCGCACCCGAGUGGGUUGGUUCCCGGGCAGGCGUGUCCUCCGUGAGAGAGCAGGCAGUCAGGAAGGGACGAUGGAUAUAAAGAGAGAGAGCGAAGACAGGCUGGGACCCAGGAGGACAUACCAGAAUUCAUGUCAGUCUCCUACGCCCCCAACUCCAAUAAUGGGGAGUCCUCCAGGUAAAGUUUGUGUCCCUUGUCACUGAAGGAAACCUACACCUGGAACUGGGAGCUGAAGGAGGAGCCCACACCAAGGAGGGGAGCUGGAAGGUAUCCACUCUGGUCGUUGUCUAUGAACCGAAAGACAUCCUUCACCUGACUGGCUGACAUCUUGGAGAGGCCUGAUGUCUGGAAGAAUUUUUGGGGCUCAAAAGUAUCUGGGUCUGAAGAACAGAGAAUGGGUUAUUCUGGUGCUCACGGGACUGCAUCCUGUGUUUGGGUCAAGAUGCUGAAAACAUGGGUUAUUAAAAAUAAGAGUAUCAUUGAGCCACAGGGAUGCUCUGCUCAAAAAAAAUAAAUCUUUUGAAAGACAAAGAGGGCUGUGACUGGUUCAAGAUUCUUAAGCAGCCAAGCCUGGAUAGCUUUGGGUAUCGUCUCCUGCCCCCGCCCCCAGUUUUCCUCUCCACUUGGUUUGCCCCUCUCUCCUCUGCUCCCCUGUGCCUCCCCUGCCCAUUUUACAGCGGUGUCUCCAAGACCCCGGCACCCCUGGUCUCCUCCGGGAGGGAAAAUGCAAUUGUUGGAGUCAAAUAGGUACAUAGCAGCCAAUGACCUCUUUUCUCGCUGUGAGUUUCUUUCGCCUUACGGAAAUGAGAUCUCAUGUCCCUAUAAUCUUAGUUAAUCAAGAACAGUUUUAUUCUCUGAUCCCAUGAACUUUCGGCAAAGUUCACAUGUUAAUUUUUUGGGACUUUGCCGGAAGUGCGAGUACAAGGGAAAA
Long non-coding RNA from Myotis daubentonii (Daubenton's bat), 967 nucleotides. RefSeq lists it as uncharacterized. NCBI's taxonomy places the organism in Eukaryota, Metazoa, Chordata, Mammalia, Chiroptera, Vespertilionidae. The record is from RefSeq and is a predicted model, not a curated record.